This 292-nucleotide ribosomal RNA is filed under the name uncultured bacterium. Its description in RNAcentral is "partial 16S ribosomal RNA". It matches the Rfam family "Bacterial small subunit ribosomal RNA", at positions 505 to 796 of the family's 1533-position model. The record is from RNAcentral.
GUGUCAGCCGCCGCGGUAAUACGAAGGGGGCUAGCGUUGCUCGGAAUCACUGGGCGUAAAGCGCACGUAGGCGGCUUUCUAAGUCAGGGGUGAAAUCCUGGAGCUCAACUCCAGAACUGCCUUUGAUACUGGAGAGCUUGAGUCCGGAAGAGGUGAGUGGAACUCCGAGUGUAGAGGUGAAAUUCGUAGAUAUUCGGAAGAACACCAGUGGCGAAGGCGGCUCACUGGUCCGGUACUGACGCUGAGGUGCGAAAGCGUGGGGAGCAAACAGGAUUAGAUACCCCCGUAGUCC